GCCGGGGGCGCGCACCUUUAAUCCAUGUUACUGGGAGGUUGAGGCUGGAGGAGCGUUUGAGCUCAGGGCCUCUGAGCUGCUGUGGACUGUGUGCACAUGGCGCUCCUGGGGGAGCCCGGGACCACCAGGUCGUCUAAGGAGGGGUGCACCGGCCCAGGCCGGACACGGGGCAGGUCAAAGCCCCUGUGCCGCUCAGCAGUGGGAUCGUGCCUGAGAACAGACAGACAGACAC
This 232-nucleotide signal recognition particle RNA is filed under the name Periophthalmus magnuspinnatus. RNAcentral's name for it is "Metazoan signal recognition particle RNA (ENSPMGG00000015072.1)". It matches the Rfam family "Metazoan signal recognition particle RNA". From Rfam's summary of the family: The signal recognition particle (SRP) is a universally conserved ribonucleoprotein. Lineage: Eukaryota; Metazoa; Chordata; Actinopteri; Gobiiformes; Gobiidae. The record is from RNAcentral.